This 220-nucleotide long non-coding RNA is filed under the name Elaeis guineensis (African oil palm). RNAcentral describes it as "long non-coding RNA (EGUI_LNC056584)". The record is from RNAcentral. Lineage: Eukaryota; Viridiplantae; Streptophyta; Magnoliopsida; Arecales; Arecaceae.
UGCUUAUGUUUGUUAUUUGAUGUUAUAAUGGAUUUACCAUUUUUCAGUCAGUAAUUUUAUGAUGUAUCAUCUUUAACAUGAGAGGAACAUGAGUAGCUCUAAAUGUUGGCAUUAAACAGGCCAUUUGCUUUCUUUUUUUAUCUGUAUUAUCAGGAGAGAAGAAAUGUUCUUUUUCCCAUCUUCUUUCAUGAAAUUAUGUUAUAUCAUAUUUUCGAUGCCC